CCUACGGGUGGCUGCAGUGGGGAAUUUUGGACAAUGGGGGCAACCCUGAUCCAGCCAUGCCGCGUGCGGGAAGAAGGCCUUCGGGUUGUAAACCGCUUUUGUCAGGGAAGAAAUCUUCCGAGCUAAUACCUUGGGAGGAUGACGGUACCUGAAGAAUAAGCACCGGCUAACUACGUGCCAGCAGCCGCGGUAAUACGUAGGGGGCAAGCGUUAAUCGGAAUUACCGGGGGUGGUUCUGGAAGACACGUGUGAAAGCCCCGGGCUUACCCUGGGAACUGCACUUGUGACUGUACGGCUGGAGUACGGCAGAGGGGGAUGGAAUUCCGCGUGUAGCAGUGAAAUGCGUAGAUAUGCGGAGGAACACCGAUGGCGAAGGCAGUCCCCUGGGCCUGUACUGACGCUCAUGCACGAAAGCGUGGGGAGCAAACAGGAUUAGAUACCCUUGUAGUC
This 450-nucleotide ribosomal RNA is filed under the name uncultured bacterium. RNAcentral describes it as "partial 16S ribosomal RNA". It matches the Rfam family "Bacterial small subunit ribosomal RNA", at positions 338 to 795 of the family's 1533-position model. The record is from RNAcentral.